AUGUGUGUAGGAGUAAGCAGUAAAUUAAGUGGAAACAUGGAAACACUUAAUAUACUGCUUUUAAA
This 65-nucleotide non-coding RNA is filed under the name unclassified sequences. RNAcentral's name for it is "Cyano-1 RNA". It matches the Rfam family "Cyano-1 RNA". RNAcentral also lists the same sequence under 1 other name. The record is from RNAcentral.